GAAAUUAAGGGAGAUUUGGCUGACAUCUGUCACCCUAUUGCAUUUCAGGCUGAUUCAGCUGUUUUGGCUGUACUGUGUCUCCUUUGUUUCUUAAUACUCCAGGUGCUUCUGUUCCAAAGAAGCAUGCUUAGCUUGAUAAGGACAAGUUUUUCUUUUAGAGGAGGAUGGUCAUAGAUAAAGGAUAUAUGAAUAGCUCAACUAUUCUGUUGAAACCUCCAAACACAUUCUCAAGAAAUACUCUCAUGUUACUGCAUGCUUGUUCCCACUUCCAUGUCUCACUCACAU
Non-coding RNA from Neotoma lepida (desert woodrat), 285 nucleotides. It matches the Rfam family "7SK RNA". From Rfam's summary of the family: 7SK was discovered as an abundant small nuclear RNA in the mid-70s but a possible function has only recently been suggested. Two independent studies have found that 7SK RNA binds the CDK9/cyclin T complex (known as elongation factor P-TEFb). P-TEFb activates transcription by phosphorylating the C-terminal domain of RNA polymerase II. The record is from Rfam. NCBI's taxonomy places the organism in Eukaryota, Metazoa, Chordata, Mammalia, Rodentia, Cricetidae.